Molecule: transfer RNA, 75 nt
Filed under: Pyrinomonadaceae bacterium
Lineage: Bacteria; Pseudomonadati; Acidobacteriota; Blastocatellia; Blastocatellales; Pyrinomonadaceae
Description: tRNA-Ala
Rfam family: tRNA
About the family: Transfer RNA (tRNA) molecules are approximately 80 nucleotides in length. Their secondary structure includes four short double-helical elements and three loops (D, anti-codon, and T loops).
Source: RNAcentral
GGGCUGGUGAUGUAAAUGGCAGCAUAGAAGUCUCGCAAACUUCUUGUGGGGGUUCGACUCCCCCCCGGUCUACCA